GUGCUCGCUUCGGCAGCACAUAUGCUAAAAUUGUAACGAUACAGAGAAGAUUAGCAUGGCUCCUACGCAAGGAUGACAUGCAAAUUUGUGAAGCUUUCCAUAUUUUU
RNAcentral lists this small nuclear RNA (107 nucleotides) under Suricata suricatta (meerkat). Lineage: Eukaryota; Metazoa; Chordata; Mammalia; Carnivora; Herpestidae. The record is from RNAcentral.